Molecule: ribosomal RNA, 462 nt
Filed under: uncultured bacterium
Lineage: Bacteria
Description: partial 16S ribosomal RNA
Rfam family: Bacterial small subunit ribosomal RNA
Source: RNAcentral
GACGAACGCUGGCGGCGUGCUUAACACAUGCAAGUCGAGCGGUAAGGCCUUUCGGGGUCCACGAGCGGCGAACGGGUGAGUAACACGUUGGUGAUCUGCCCUGCACUUCGGGAUAAGCCUGGGAAACUGGGUCUAAUACCGGAAAUGACCUCCUAUCGCAUGGUGGGUGGGGGAAAGAUUUAUCGGUGCAGGAUGGGCCCGCGGCCUAUCAGCUUGUUGGUGGGGUAAUGGCUUACCAAGGCGACGCCUGGUAGCCGACCUGAGAGGGUGACCGGCCACACGGGUCCUGAGACACGGCCCAGACUCCUACGGGAGGCAGCAGUCGGGAAUAUUGCACAAUGGGCGAAAGCCUGAUGCGGCGACCCCGCGUGAGGGAUGACGGCCUUCGGGUUGUAAACCUCUUUCUGCAGAGACGAAGCGCAAGUGACGGUACCUGCAGAAGAAGCACCGGCUAACUACGUG